GGGGAUGUAGUUCAGUAGUGCCACGCCUGCCUCGCAAGCACAAGGUCCUGAGUUCGAUCCCCAGUACCCCCA
Molecule: transfer RNA, 72 nt
Filed under: Heterocephalus glaber (naked mole-rat)
Lineage: Eukaryota; Metazoa; Chordata; Mammalia; Rodentia; Bathyergidae
Rfam family: tRNA
About the family: Transfer RNA (tRNA) molecules are approximately 80 nucleotides in length. Their secondary structure includes four short double-helical elements and three loops (D, anti-codon, and T loops). Further hydrogen bonds mediate the characteristic L-shaped molecular structure. tRNAs have two regions of fundamental functional importance: the anti-codon, which is responsible for specific mRNA codon recognition, and the 3' end, to which the tRNAs corresponding amino acid is attached (by aminoacyl-tRNA synthetases). tRNAs cope with the degeneracy of the genetic code in two manners: having more than one tRNA (with a specific anti-codon) for a particular amino acid; and 'wobble' base-pairing, i.e. permitting non-standard base-pairing at the 3rd anti-codon position.
Source: Rfam by way of RNAcentral